Molecule: unclassified non-coding RNA, 354 nt
Filed under: soil metagenome
Description: partial contains 5.8S ribosomal RNA, internal transcribed spacer 2, and large subunit ribosomal RNA
Rfam family: 5.8S ribosomal RNA (bases 1-120)
Source: RNAcentral
GAUGAAGAACGCAGCGAAACGCGAUAUGUAAUGUGAAUUGCAGAAUUCAGUGAAUCAUCGAAUCUUUGAACGCACAUGGCGCCUUCCAGUAUCCUGGGAGGCAUGCCUGUCCGAGCGUCGUUUCAACCCUCAAGCCCCCGUGGCCCGGCGUUGGGGAUCUGCCCAGGCAGUCCCCGAAAACCAGUGGCGGACCCGUUACAGGCCCUUCCCUUGCGUAGUAGCAUUCGCCUCGCAUCGGGAGCCGGCGGGCUUCCAGCCUCUAAACCCCCAUCAAGUCCGCCCCGGCGGCACCAAGGUUGACCUCGGAUCAGGUAGGAAUACCCGCUGAACUUAAGCAUAUCAAUAAGCGGAGGA